This 374-nucleotide ribosomal RNA is filed under the name uncultured bacterium. Its description in RNAcentral is "bacterial SSU rRNA". It matches the Rfam family "Bacterial small subunit ribosomal RNA", at positions 523 to 898 of the family's 1533-position model. The record is from RNAcentral.
AUACGUAGGGGGCGAGCGUUAUCCGGAUUUAUUGGGCGUAAAGCGCGCGCAGGCGGUCAGGUAAGUCGGAUGUGAAAGGCUACGGCUCAAGCGUAGAGCGGCAUCCGAAACUGUUUGACUUGAGUGCAGGAGAGGAGAGUGGAAUUCCCGGUGUAGCGGUGGAAUGCGUAGAGAUCGGGAGGAACACCAGUGGCGAAGGCGACUCUCUGGACUGUAACUGACGCCGAGGCGCGAAAGCGUGGGGAGCAAACAGGAUUAGAUACCCUGGUAGUCCACGCCGUAAACGAUGAGUGCUAGGUGUUGGGGGGACCCCCCUCAGUGCCGCAGGUAACCCAAUAAGCACUCCGCCUGGGGAGUACGGUCGCAAGACUGAA